Mesorhizobium loti is the source of this 67-nucleotide non-coding RNA. NCBI's taxonomy places the organism in Bacteria, Pseudomonadati, Pseudomonadota, Alphaproteobacteria, Hyphomicrobiales, Phyllobacteriaceae. The record is from Rfam.
UGUCAAGAGUCUCGGCGUCGUUUUGGCGAGCAGGUUUCUUUUGCCUCAUUGAAGGUGAAGGAACAUG